ACACGAUGUGAGAGGGUUUUAAUAGAUAUCUGGACAACGGAGUCUGGACAGGCUUCCCGAGAACGGAAUUUUGAGUCAGUCUAAGCGAUGAGAAGGAGGGAGACUGCUGGGUGAAGGAGGAGAGGUGAAGACAGGCCAGGCAAAGAAGACAGCUGGCGUCAAAACAUGGCGUCCCGGCAGGCUAGGCAUGUUCACGCAACACUGGAACGUUCCCUAUGCUGAGGCUGAGGCUGCACCGGAGGAAGGGAGAUUGUUACAAGAAUGGCUCCCACUCAAUCGGCUUUCCAGUCUCCAGCCUGGGUGCAGAGCCCUCCCACACUGAUGGCCAUGUGACUUGCUUUGACCAAUGGCACAUGAGGAAACAUGUUACAAGCAGAGAAUUAAAAAAUGCUUGGACGUGAGGCUUGCCCUCUCUUGCUCCCUGAGAAUGCCGUAUGAGGAAGCCUGAGCUAGCCCACUGGAGGCGAAGGAGCAGAGAGUCGUAGCCCAGCUGAGGCCUCCUAGAUCCAUCAGCUUUCAGCCAGUCUACAAACUGACUGUCACCACAAGAGUGACCCUACACAAAACCCAUCCAGCUGUGCUCAGCCCAAAUUACUAACCCAAAG
RNAcentral lists this long non-coding RNA (605 nucleotides) under Equus asinus (donkey). RNAcentral's name for it is "lncRNA (ENSEASG00005032815.1)". The record is from RNAcentral. Lineage: Eukaryota; Metazoa; Chordata; Mammalia; Perissodactyla; Equidae.